GUAUACUUUCAAAUUUCCAUGAGCCACCGUGAGAAAAAAAUUUUGUCAAUCCAGGAGUAGUGGGAAAAAAAAUUGACAGUUACAUGUUUUGUUUUUGUUUGUGAUUAUUAUCAUUCCUGCAAAAUUUUCCAGUCCGAGAGAAUGAACCGGCUCUCGAAAAAAACAGUGCUUCGUUCUAACCAGAAAUUGCUUCCUGCAUGUGAAGCCAAGCCAUCAAAAACCAAUUCCAGUGCCAGAAAAUACACAGGAAAACCGAGAUGGCACACAGCAUUUUGUACAGAAUGUGGAAAGCGGCAAACGAAAAUCUAAUAAAUACUCGAAAGUUUCGACUAAAGUAAAAAAGGAGGCCCAGCCCAAAUGCCAAAUACCAAAAGAAACUACUUCAAGUGGAACCAUACAAGCACUCCGACAGCUUGCAGGAGAAAAGGGCGUUCCAUUGUCGGGGAAUAAGGAGCAGUUGAAGCAAAGAUUGCAGUGGUAUGACACGUAUAACUUGAAUUCAUCGAUUAUUGAACCCGUAGAAGCAGUGAAGCCGCUAGACGACUCUGGAUUUAUCGAAGACUUGGCGUUUUUCGCGUGCGAUGAAGUUCUCCAGCAAUCGUUGGGAUGGCUUAGUGUCGUGGAAAUUUUUUCAUAUUUUCAACAACGAUCUGCCCGUCAAGGAUAUCGCAAUGGGAAGCUGCUGCAACAAGCCGGAUUCUUAAGGAAUGUUUGCUAC
Armigeres subalbatus is the source of this 718-nucleotide long non-coding RNA. RefSeq lists it as uncharacterized. Lineage: Eukaryota; Metazoa; Arthropoda; Insecta; Diptera; Culicidae. The transcript has 3 exons. The record is from RefSeq and is a predicted model, not a curated record.